GGCAGGGUAGCUCAGUGGUAGAGCAAGGUCUUCAUAAGGCCGAGGUCACGGGUCCGACCCCCGUCCCUGCUACAA
RNAcentral lists this transfer RNA (75 nucleotides) under Candidatus Collierbacteria bacterium CG1_02_44_10. RNAcentral describes it as "tRNA-Met". It matches the Rfam family "tRNA". Rfam says of the family: Transfer RNA (tRNA) molecules are approximately 80 nucleotides in length. Their secondary structure includes four short double-helical elements and three loops (D, anti-codon, and T loops). Lineage: Bacteria; Candidatus Collieribacteriota. RNAcentral also lists the same sequence under 2 other names. The record is from RNAcentral.